CACAUGCAAGUCGAGGGGCAGCGGAGGCUGUAGCAAUACAGCCUGCCGGCGACCGGCGCACGGGUGAGUAACACGUAUGCAACCUGCCCGUGACAGUGGGAUAAUCCGGAGAAAUCCGGUCUAAUACCGCAUGAUCCCCUGUGGAGACAUCUCCACGGGGGCAAAGGAAGUAAUUCCGGUCACGGAUGGGCAUGCGUCGCAUUAGCUGGUUGGCGGGGUAACGGCCCACCAAGGCGACGAUGCGUAGGGGUUCUGAGAGGAAGGUCCCCCACACUGGUACUGAGACACGGACCAGACUCCUACGGGAGGCAGCAGUGAGGAAUAUUGGUCAAUGGGCGCGAGCCUGAACCAGCCAAGUCGCGUGAGGGAAGACGGUCCUAUGGAUUGUAAACCUCUUUUGCCGGGGAGCAAAAGGAGCCACGUGUGGCUCAUCGAGAGUACCCGGAGAAAAAGCAUCGGCUAACUCCGUGCCAGCAGCCGCGGUAAUACGGAGGAUGCGAGCGUUAUCCGGAUUUAUUGGGUUUAAAGGGUGCGUAGGCGGGACCUUAAGUCAGCGGUUAAAUCGCGGGGCUCAACCUCGCUCUGCCGUUGAAACUGGGGUCCUUGAGUGGGCGAGAAGUACGCGGAAUGCGUGGUGUAGCGGUGAAAUGCAUAGAUAUCACGCAGAACUCCGAUUGCGAAGGCAGCGUACCGGCGCCCUACUGACGCUGAAGCACGAAAGCGUGGGUAUCGAACAGGAUUAGAUACCCUGGUAGUCCACGCAGUAAACGAUGAAUGCUAAUUGUGUGCCCCGACUGAGGGGUGCGUGAUAAAGCGAAAGCGUUAAGCAUUCCACCUGGGGAGUACGCCGGCAACGGUGAAACUCAAAGGAAUUGACGGGGACCCGCACAAGCGGUGGAGCAUGUGGUUUAAUUCGAAGCAACGCGAAGAACCUUACCAAGUCUUGACAUCGAGCUAAAGGUAGAGUAAUGUCUACUGAGCCUUCGGGCAAGCGAAGACAGGUGGUGCAUGGUUGUCGUCAGCUCGUGUCGUGAGAUGUUGGGUUAAGUCCCGCAACGAGCGCAACCCUUAUUGUUAGUAGCCAGCAGGUAGAGCUGGGCACUCUAAUGAGACUGCCAGGGAGAACCUGGAGGAAGGCGGGGAUGACGUCAAAUCAUCAUGCCCCUUAUGACUUGGGCUACACACGUGCUACAAUGGCGUAAACAAAGUGAAGCGAGAGGGAGACCUUAAGCAAAGCACAAAAAUAACGUCUCAGUUCGGAUUGUAGUCUGCAACUCGACUACAUGAAGCUGGAAUCGCUAGUAAUCGCAAAUCAGAAUGUUGCGGUGAAUACGUUCCCGGGUCUUGCACACACCGCCCGUCAAG
This 1365-nucleotide ribosomal RNA is filed under the name uncultured bacterium. RNAcentral's name for it is "bacterial SSU rRNA". It matches the Rfam family "Bacterial small subunit ribosomal RNA", at positions 52 to 1401 of the family's 1533-position model. The record is from RNAcentral.